GAUCCUAGCGUUGUUCGGAAUUAUUGGGCGUAAAGCGGAUGUAGGUGGCUUUGUAAGUCAGAUGUGAAAGCCCAGGGCUCAACCCUGGAAGUGCAUUUGAUACUGCGAAGCUUGAGUGUCGGAGAGGUUACUAGAAUUGUUGGUGUAGUGGUGAAAUACGUAGAUAUCAACAGGAAUACCGGAGGCGAAGGCGGGUAACUGGCCGAACACUGACACUGAGAUCCGAAAGCGUGGGGAUCAAACAGGAUUAGAUACCCUGGUAGUCCACGCCGUAAACGAUGGAUACUUGUUGUUGGAGGUAUUGACCCCUUCAGUGACGAAGCUAACGCGUUAAGUAUCCCGCCUGGGGAGUACGGUCGCAAGAUUAAAACUCAAAGAAAUUGACGGGGGCCCGCACAAGCGGUGGAGCAUGUGGUUUAAUUCGAUGCAACGCGAAGAACCUUACCUAGGCUUGACAG
This 458-nucleotide ribosomal RNA is filed under the name Bdellovibrio bacteriovorus. RNAcentral's name for it is "bacterial SSU rRNA". It matches the Rfam family "Bacterial small subunit ribosomal RNA", at positions 531 to 987 of the family's 1533-position model. Lineage: Bacteria; Pseudomonadati; Bdellovibrionota; Bdellovibrionia; Bdellovibrionales; Pseudobdellovibrionaceae. The record is from RNAcentral.